CCUGAGAGGGCGACCGGCCACACUGGGCACUGAGACACGGCCCAGGACUCCUACGGGNAGGCAGCAGUGGGGAAUAUUGCACAAUGGGCGGAAGCCUGAUGCAGCGACGCCGCGUGAGGGAUGACGGCCUUCGGGUUGUAAACCUCUUUCAGCAGGGACGAAGCGAGAGUGACGGUACCUGCAGAAGAAGCACCGGCCAACUACGUGCCAGCAGCCGCGGUAAGACGUAGGGUGCGAGCGUUGUCCGGAUUUAUUGGGCGUAAAGAGCUCGUAGGCGGCUUGUCGCGUCGACCGUGAAAACUUGGGGCUCAACUCCAAGCCUGCGGUCGAUACGGGCAGGCUAGAGUUCGGUAGGGGAGACUGGAAUUCCUGGUG
Molecule: ribosomal RNA, 375 nt
Filed under: Micromonospora sp. MP38-C7
Lineage: Bacteria; Bacillati; Actinomycetota; Actinomycetes; Micromonosporales; Micromonosporaceae
Description: bacterial SSU rRNA
Rfam family: Bacterial small subunit ribosomal RNA
Source: RNAcentral